Molecule: ribosomal RNA, 481 nt
Filed under: uncultured bacterium
Lineage: Bacteria
Description: partial 16S ribosomal RNA
Rfam family: Bacterial small subunit ribosomal RNA
Source: RNAcentral
GAUGAACGCUGGCGGCGUGCCUAACACAUGCAAGUCGAACGGAGAUUCCGGACGGAAGUUUUCGGAUGGAAGCCUGUAAUUCUUAGUGGCGGACGGGUGAGUAACGCGUGGGCAACCUGCCCUAUACAGGGGGAUAGCAGCUGGAAACGGCUGGUAAGACCGCAUAAGUCGGUUAAAUCGCAUGAUUUGAUCGGGAAAUGAGCAAUCAGGUAUAGGAUGGGCCCGCGUCCGAUUAGCCAGUUGGCAGGGUAAAAGCCUACCAAAGCGACGAUCGGUAGCCGGACUGAGAGGUCGGACGGCCACAUUGGGACUGAGACACGGCCCAAACUCCUACGGGAGGCAGCAGUGGGGGAUAUUGCACAAUGGAGGAAACUCUGAUGCAGCGACGCCGCGUGAGUGAAGAAGUAUUUCGGUAUGUAAAGCUCUAUCAGCAGGGAAGAUGAUGACGGUACCUGACGAAGAAGCCCCGGCUAACUACGUG